AGACCACACUCGGCCAUGAAAGUCUUUGAAGGUGGGGAAGGGGUGAAGAUGGUGAGGGGAUUCCACGGCUGGGAGAGGUACACUCCCUACACGUUCUAACCAACUGGCCGUGGGGAGGAAGCUGGAGGUCAGGACACAGCAAAUGGGGGAUCUCAGAAGUCUUAAUGAAGUAACUAUCCCUGAACACUGGGAUCAAUACUCAGCAUCCAGCUGUCAAAUCAACACCAAGGCCUUCAGUUGCAAAGUUCUCCAUUGUCAGAUUACGCUGCCUGAUGGGCAUGAAAAGUCCACAAAAGAGAAUUUUCUGAUGUGAGAAUGGAGGGUGUUGCCUGCAACUACCCCAGAUCCCUGCGGUGGCAGUUUAAGCCGCCUCCUGGAGCAGAUUGUUAAGCUGAUGCGAGUCUGGGCUCUGCCUCACCACUUGUCUCAGAGAAUGUCCAGUGCUAGGAGACUCAUAAGUUGGAGAGAAACGGCCUGAUUUAUAGAAACUGAGCGAGACUCCGGACCACCUGAUGCAGAGAAACCUGUGACCUGAAAAAGUCUAUUUGUGUUUCCUCUAGGAAUCUCGGCCAAGAAGACAGGGACAAGCUCCCAACUCUGACUACCCCUUUUACAGGGAAAAAAAAAAAAUCCCGUGCCUUCUUUGCAGCAAGUGACAAAUCCUUGUCAUAUCGAGAUGGCUUUUCCUCCUCCUCUUCAAACAUCUUUUAGCAGCAACAGCAGCUCAAGUAACUGGAAUUAUUUCAGAGUUAAAAUGCAGGCUUUGUAGACCCUCUUAGACAGACAGAUUCAAUUUCAAAGGAAACUUCUUUGGCUGGGUACUCAGUGAGUGUUACACAGGGAUUUGGGGAGUUAAUAUUCACUGUUUCUGUUGUUGGAGAAAAGGAAAGCAGAGUUGCUCUUUCUCAUUACUCUCCCCAACGCACAUCUGUUUCCUCUCGUAUCUUGGAAUUAGGAAGAUGGAGGAGACUUAAGUGGUGACCCACCUAGCCUCCUGAUGCAUGCUGGGCUCACUUUAAAACUCCCAAAACAGAUGGCAGUUGAUCACGGUUUUAAAGAUCCCAGCAUAGACUUUCUGCAGCCUCCCUUGUUAGCCACUAUCAGCGCUUAACAUUCUGUCAUCUGAAUAACUCCUUAAAAAUGAUAGCAAUGGUAGUAGAAAUUUAAAAGGAACCUCCCAAAAAACAUGCAAAAGCUUACCACCCCAGUAAAUCACCCGCAACAAUGUCGCAACAGUUUAAAUUUACUGCAGAGAGAGCUGAAGUUUAGGAGACACAGCUUUAUAAUAUUUUUGAGAGAUAGUUGAGUGCAAAUGAGUCCUGUUCCUCUUGCAUCAGGGCCUGCUCCACUGAGUCAUCCUGCCUUCAGAAGCUUCCAGCUAAGUGGCAGGCCCCGGCCAUAGGCUCCCUGUGUCCCCAGCCUCCAGAGAACACACAAUGUUCUCAUCGCCCUUAGCUCCAUUCCAGAAGGGGCCUGCAGUUCUGCAGCUUAUCAGGGGUCUACUGGGAAGUGAGAUGUCACUGUCCCUUUCUGGCCCUGCAUUGUCUGUGAGUGGCUCUCCUGGAUUAAGAGUUGGCAAAGUAUGGCCAGUGGCCAGGACUGGCCUGCUGCCUGUUUUUGUUUAACCCGUGAGCUAAGAAUAGUUUUUACCUAUUUUAAGUAGUUGAAAAAAAAAUCAAGAGAAGAAUACUAUUUCGUGAUAUGUGAAAAAUCACAUGAAAUUCAAAUGUAAGUGUCCAUAAAUAAAGUCUUACUGGAAGA
RNAcentral lists this long non-coding RNA (1761 nucleotides) under Homo sapiens (human). RNAcentral's name for it is "HSALNT0372448". The record is from RNAcentral. Lineage: Eukaryota; Metazoa; Chordata; Mammalia; Primates; Hominidae.